Molecule: long non-coding RNA, 2158 nt
Filed under: Limulus polyphemus (Atlantic horseshoe crab)
Lineage: Eukaryota; Metazoa; Arthropoda; Merostomata; Xiphosura; Limulidae
Description: uncharacterized LOC111087177, transcript variant X2
Source: RNAcentral
AAGAUUUACAACGCUAAACUUAAAAGAGAAUCGGUGACGUAGAGGUCUAAUGUAUUCCUUGAUUGGCUGUACCCUCUGCUGUGGACUGCAGUUUCGUCUAUUCAAGGCUCAUCAGCACAGCUUGAGUCAGCAAACCAAAGGGCUACGAUUGGGGCUAUUAUAAUGGUGAAGUGUUUAUAGUAUCUAAGGGGGUUUUAGUUCCUUUUUACUUCACCAUACUGUAACUUGAAUUAAUUUACGUAUGUCAACAAUGUUAUGACAUUAUCGCCUAAUUCAAGAUUCGACCAACUGUUUGCUUUCGGGAUAAAACAAUGCACGUAUCAUGAGAAGCAUAAAAACCGCGACUGUUAUCUCAACAAUAAGAUUUACAUAGUUUUUUCUGCUGUGAUUCGCUUGUUUUCUUACCUUACGUUCGUUAAAACCAAUCAUCGUUAGUGACGACAUCUUUAAACUUCCUGGUUCGUUCUAAUCACACUUAAUGUUAAGCUACAAGUAGUUACAACCAUCCACUCUCUCUAAGUAUUGUUACACAGGGGAAACUUAGCUGAACAUGGCUGAUCUUACCUCUCGGAUGAUAACACUUUCAGUGUCACGUUCCACUAGCAAAGCUCAUCAGGGAAAACCCCGAGGAAGUUUAAUGGUUGGUUGUUUUUUAGAGCAAAGUCACAUUGGACAUGCUGCCGUGGCCACUACUGUUAAUCCGACUCCGGAUUUAAGCGUUGUAAGUCCGUAAACGUACCAUGAUUCAACAAGGGGACUCAUGAAAAGCACUGUUGGUAUGAUAGUAAAGACCAGGUUUCGACUCUGGGUCAUCUGGCCGUCUCUCCAUUAAAGUUUCGGUCAACUAACAUAUUUACAUGUUUUCAAGAGAGUAUCCAGAAACAUUUCAAAAAUGACAACCUUAAAAAAAGCUCUUCUGACUGUCAAAACAUACUUAACGACAUGAAAAAAAUUCACGAUGAAUUGAAGAAGUAUCUUGAGGAAGAUGAAACAGCUCGAGCGCAUUUGAUUGAAAAUUUUCCAGUUUGGAUUUCAUCGCGAGAAGAAUCCAUUAAGUCUCUUAAGAAGAUUGAUAUUAAGAAGAAUGAGAACAAUUAGGGUGUAAAAACCUCAAAAAAUGCUGUUUCUCUUAGUAAAAUGGGUAAAAUACAUAGUAAGAUGGUUGCUGUCGGAGAUACUCUUGGCAGUUUUACUGAUGACCUCUCGUUAGAUUUACCUGAAGGUGGCGCCACCUUACAUGCUGCUGGAGAAUUAUUUUCUCUAGGAUCAAACUUGACAGGAACGAUUGCCAAUAAAAUAAAAUGUCAAAAAAUCAUAUAGACUCUGAAUAAAGACAAAAAACAAAGUGACGAACUUUUCAAAAAUAUGGAAACCCUGAAACGCAGUGACGAAAACCGUGAGAAACUUCUGAAAGAAGCAAAUGAGUUUAUAGACAUUAUUGAGAAAUCCCGGUAAGUCAAUUGUGGAGCUUUUAGAGAAAGCAGUAGAAUUUUAUCAGAACUUAGCCCAUUUUGAAGAAGUAAACUUUGACAACAGUAAGAAAGUUUUAAAGACAACUUUUAUACAUUUACCAGUAAAUAGUACAUGUAAAGAAAAGACACUUUGUGACCAGGUUGAUCUUAAGCCACCUUCAAAUCUGAUCUCAAAAAGCUCUGGUGAGGGUCCAGUUGUAUCCCCAGUAAAGAAAAAAAAAAGCAGCAGCAAACUGAAAUCAGACGAUUCUAAAAAAUACUUUUUUAUUUUUGAGUUACGACUUCAUCAAAUAUACAGGGAAAAUUAUAGCUUUAUCAAAAGAAUGGCUGUUGCUGGAAAUACUGACAUUGAAAAAUUAUAUGAUUUCUUUCUCGCCUUUAGGAUUCUGAGAUUUCCCUCAUAUCAAAAGCGUCCUUUAGAAAACAAAAGAAUGCCGAAAUAAAUCCAACGCUGCCCACAUUUAAUGUCUGGUUUUUGAACGUGUUUUUUAAAUAUUUUAGCCAAUAUUUAGAACAAUAAACCAUAUCUUAAUUCUGUGUGACAUUAUUAUUCUGUAAAGAAAAAGUAACUACUAAAAAUGUUAGAAUUAGAACAAUCGACGUAUAAUUAUACUUAAAUUGUAUUUCAAGUCAGAAGAUCCAUGUAGGCUAAUUAUUGUUAAAAUAAAGUUCAGUUUACAAUGGCU